This 177-nucleotide ribosomal RNA is filed under the name uncultured bacterium. Its description in RNAcentral is "partial 16S ribosomal RNA". It matches the Rfam family "Bacterial small subunit ribosomal RNA", at positions 331 to 524 of the family's 1533-position model. The record is from RNAcentral.
AGUGAUUCCUACGGGAGGCAGCAGUGGGGAAUAUUGGACAAUGGGCGAAAGCCUGAUCCAGCAAUGCCGCGUGAGUGAUGAAGGCCUUAGGGUUGUAAAGCUCUUUUACCCGGGAUGAUAAUGACAGUACCGGGAGAAUAAGCUCCGGCUANCUAAAAGGCCAGCAGCCGCGGUAAU